Molecule: ribosomal RNA, 253 nt
Filed under: uncultured bacterium
Lineage: Bacteria
Description: partial 16S ribosomal RNA
Rfam family: Bacterial small subunit ribosomal RNA
Source: RNAcentral
UACGUAGGGCGCAAGCGUUGUCCGGAAUUAUUGGGCGUAAAGAGCUCGUAGGCGGUCUGUUACGUCCGCUGUGAAAACCCAGGGCUUAACCCUGGGCUUGCAGUGGAUACGGGUAGACUAGAGGCAGGUAGGGGAGAAUGGAAUUCCCGGUGUAGCGGUGAAAUGCGCAGAUAUCGGGAGGAACACCGGUGGCGAAGGCGGCGACCUGGACGGACACUGACGCUGAGACGCGAAAGCGUGGGGAGCAAACAGG